GUAGGUGGCAAGCGUUGUCCGGAAUUAUUGGGCGUAAAGCGCGCGCAGGCGGUUCUUUAAGUCUGAUGUGAAAGCCCACGGCUCAACCGUGGAGGGUCGUUGGAAACUGGAGAACUUGAGUACAGAAGAGGAAAGCGGAAUUCCACGUGUAGCGGUGAAAUGCGUAGAGAUGUGGAGGAACACCAGUGGCGAAGGCGGCUUUCUGGUCUGUAACUGACGCUGAGGCGCGAAAGCGUGGGGAGCAAACAGGGAUUAGAUACCCUGGUAGUCCACGCCGUAAACGAUGAGUGCUAAGUGUUAGGGGGGUUUCCGCCCCCUUAGUGCUGCAGCUAACGCAUUAAGCACUCCGCCUGGGGAUACGGCCGCAAGGCUG
Molecule: ribosomal RNA, 373 nt
Filed under: uncultured organism
Description: partial 16S ribosomal RNA
Rfam family: Bacterial small subunit ribosomal RNA
Source: RNAcentral